CGGGGCAGGCCGGGAAGGAGGGAACGGGGCCUGGCGCGGGAGCGGCGCCCGGAGUCGGCGGGAUCGGGACUGGCACCGGGACCGGGACCGGCAGCGGUGCCCAGGGCCCCGCGCCCGAGCUGCGUCACCGGAGGAGGCACGGCCGCUCCGGUAUCCUGGCGCCGGGCCGGGCUGGGCCGGGCUGAGCCGCCGCGCCCGGAGGCAGCCUCUUUGUGUGUGAAAUGCUGAGGAUGCUGCAUGCUUUACUAUUUGAAGGGCUUAAUGAAGCAGCUUGGCCAUCUCUUGCAGUAUAGGAGGAUGUAGGGAGGCUUACAUUUCUCUUUUCAAUGCUACUGAACUUGGCUAUCUUAAUUUUUCUCUUGAUGAUCACUUUUACCCACCACUCUUUUAAACAGAAAUCUUCAGUUCGCAGGUUCACCUGUGUUAUGACAGGAUAACAUCUCAAGGUAUUGCCCAGAAUGGAAGGGUUUUACAGGAGUAUCUGGCAUCCUCUAAUUUAGCAGUAAAGAAGCCUACACGGGUGUUGUGUUUCCUGGUACCUGUUGACUCCCUGCUUAGCUUUUGAACAUGGAUCAGAUUAUAGAAGUCCCAGCUCUCUAGUCACUUAAAAUAUUUAUUGGCUUGUUAAAGAGAAGCACAUCUGCUGCUGUGAAGCCAGGAUUUGGUUUAGAAUUCUGUCACGGGACUCUACUAGUCUGUCUUUAGCAGAAGACACUAUAAAGCUAAUUUUACCAUAGAAAAGAGGUCAUAGGAAGGCAGUGGAAACAGUGCAGUCCUCAUUCAGAACAGGUAACCAUAUUCCUUUAGAGCAUUCAGGUAUUUCUUGUGAAUUAUCAGCUGUGAAAAAAGGUUAGUUUGGGCAUGUUAAAGCCUCAUUAAGAUGGUUUGGCAGUCCCUUAGGAGGAACUUGUAUGGCAGGAUAACUGUGUGAUGUCUCACACUGUGAGCCCAAAAGGACAUUGAUACUUAGAAAGUGGGAGUUUUGGGAAAUGGUGGGUGGAAAUACUCUCUCAAGCCAUGUAAUUAAAAUGAAACGAGCUGCCACAGGAGAUGAUCCAGCAAGAUUCAAAGCAAGCGGAUAUUUGUGUGAACAUCAGCACGGCAAAAACACUCUUGAGAAGAGAUUAAACGUGUGACUCAGGGUUCAAACUGAUCUUUACAGCAAUGAGAACUGGCCUUUUCUGUGUUACAGGAUACCAAAAUUUGUGUUUCACAGUGCCUUGUGCUCUCCUCAAGUUCACUGGUGCUGAAUUAGGGAGAGGGGGCUGGACUGGCAGGAAAGGGAAUAUGGAAAAUCAUCUUGCUGAUGGUGUUGCUGUGCAGGGAGAAGUUCCAAAGUCCCCUGCUGUACCCUGCUCCCCACGGAGCACGUCCCUCUACCCGAGCACAGCUUCAGCUCCGUGUGUGAAGUGUAAAAACCCUGUGCCGGCACAUGGCGCCUUCGGAGCUCGGAAUGUGUGUUUGGGCCAAAGAAAAGGCUCAGUUGGCAGCAGUGGGCUUCCUCCUGCCAGAGGAUUUGGGCUCCAGUCACACUGAGACAUUCGAGGAGCAUGUUUGCUUCACAGAGAAACUGAAGGGGAAAUGUGUAGUUGUCAGACCUCUGCCCAUUCCCACAGUGGGAUCCUGACUGCUCCUUGAAGGCCAUUCCUCAUGCUUUAGGAUUUCCUCUCAACUCUUUUUCCUUGAGCCUUGCAGAGCCCUUAGCUCUGUGUUUAUACAACAUGUAAACCAAAGUGCUCCAGAGUGAGUUCCCUGCUUGUGCAGAGCUGAUGUGGGCCGGGUUCACAGUGUCUUGGGCAGCUGUUUGCAGGAUCUGCAGCUCUGGGCUGGGUGGGCUUUAUUCCAGUUUCAGAUUAAUUUCAGCAUCUGGCACUUCUCAGUAAUCGCAGGAGUCUUCUUUGGGUUUAUAUCUUACUAUUGCCCAUUUUCAGUGUUUGCUGUUUCUUUUGCCUUUCUGAAGGGAAUCAAUUCUGUUGGAUAGGUGACCAGAGUUAAAAGAGAAGCAGCUCCCAGGCUGUGCUGCUCCUCCAUCCCCAGCGUCUGGGAGCCAAUCUGGCUGUCCAGGAGCACUCCAGACUUGCUGUUCUCACUGCAGACACUCCAGCUGACAGCAACAGGGAUUCAUCUGCUCCCAAUCCCCACAGAAACACAUGGGAAUGAACCUUGUGUUUGAUCUGGCACAGUGCAGCACUGGAGAGUGGCAUGAGACAUUCCUCCAGGGAUGAAAAUGCACAGCCACAAGUAGUCAAACCCAGUUUUGGGAAGUUGAACUGUAGAUUAUCCAUACCAGUAAUCCCAGUGUGGCUACAUCGGGUUUCAUAUAGAUUGAGGAAUUGGAGUAUUAUGGUUUCUAUAUUGGCAUAAAGAAAUUCAGGCAUAAAUACCAUUACUCUUUUUCUGGCUGGCUUGAAAAUUCCACUGCACUCUCACAAAUAGGGAGGGAUGGCCCCGGUUGGUUUUGUGGGUUUGUUUUCCUGUUUUAUUUAAACUACAGAAAUCUGGUCUCCUCAGUCCUGGAGCCAGCUGGAACAGCAGGACACUGCUCCUCCUUAUAAAGUGCCAAUCUCACAUUUUCUAGUUUGUCACAGCGAGACUUUUGAUCCUAUCAAAUAUUUUGGUCAGUAUCCUCAAGGAAGGGUCCCAGGUUACUUCAACUGGAAGUUCCAUACUUGGGUCACAGGGUACUGAAAGCUCCGUGUAUCUCCUGGAGCAGGGAUUGCAGCUGACAGAUUUAUGGCACGUGGAAAUUCUUCUUAAUAGGGAUAAAGGAGAAAGUUUUCAGAUAGAGAAUUUCUUCAGAGAUAUGUGUGCACACGGAAAUGGGUCCUGCUGAGAGCUCGGGACCUCCAAAACCACCACAUGAACCAGCAUUGUUCAAUCCAGCUUUCUCUGGUCUGCAAACUGUAAACAGGGGCAGUAAAUAGAUUUAUAGAGAAGAAAACCUUUUGUACUUUCUGUAUGUUCUACUGCAGAACCCUCACUCACAAGCUCUUCUGUCCUGCAGGCUUUGGAUUUCCCACUGUUGCUGUGUUUGCAUAUAUGAAAAUGUAAAAUGAUAACAUUUAAUAAAAUCCACAAACCAUUA
This is a long non-coding RNA of Corvus hawaiiensis (hawaiian crow), 3085 nucleotides long. RefSeq lists it as uncharacterized. The record is from RefSeq and is a predicted model, not a curated record. Lineage: Eukaryota; Metazoa; Chordata; Aves; Passeriformes; Corvidae. The transcript has 2 exons.